GACGAACGCUGGCGGCGUGCUUAACACAUGCAAGUCGAACGAAAAGAGGGAAAGAGCUUGCUCUUUCCGGAAUUGAGUGGCAAACGGGUGAGUAACACGUAGACAACCUGCCUUCAGGAUGGGGACAACAGACGGAAACGACUGCUAAUACCGAAUAAGUUCCAAGAGCCGCAUGGCCCAUGGAAGAAAAGGUGGCCUCUACCUGUAAGCUAUCGCCUGAAGAGGGGUUUGCGUCUGAUUAGCUGGUUGGAGGGGUAACGGCCCACCAAGGCGACGAUCAGUAGCCGGUCUGAGAGGGUGAACGGCCACACUGGAACUGAGACACGGUCCAGACUCCUACGGGAGGCAGCAGUGGGGAAUCUUCCGCAAUAGGCGAAAGCCUGACGGAGCAACGCCGCGUGAGUGAUGACGGCCUUCGGGUUGUAAAACUCUGUGAUCCGGGACGAAAAGGCAGAGUGCGAAGAACAAACUGCAUUGACGGUACCGGAAAAGCAAGCCACGGCUAACUACGUG
RNAcentral lists this ribosomal RNA (513 nucleotides) under uncultured bacterium. Its description in RNAcentral is "partial 16S ribosomal RNA". It matches the Rfam family "Bacterial small subunit ribosomal RNA", at positions 28 to 507 of the family's 1533-position model. The record is from RNAcentral.